Long non-coding RNA from Chinchilla lanigera (long-tailed chinchilla), 519 nucleotides. RefSeq lists it as uncharacterized. The transcript is spliced from 5 exons. The record is from RefSeq and is a predicted model, not a curated record. NCBI's taxonomy places the organism in Eukaryota, Metazoa, Chordata, Mammalia, Rodentia, Chinchillidae.
CACACAAAUCUGAGUGGUGCUUGGUGCUGAUCCCUGAACUCAGCAGGGGCUGGCCCUCGCUUUCCACAGAUUCAAGUUCUACCUGACUGUGAAGGGCCCAGGUGCCAUCUUCCUAACCUCUGCUGGAUGCUGACCAUGGAGGUGCUGCUUGUGAAACCACAGGGAGGAAUAGACCGAUCUUCCUGGGAGAGUCAUGGACCCUCAGAGUAUUGUUCCAUAGAACUUCCUGCGAUGAUGGAAGAGCUCGAUGUCUGCACCAUCCUGUGUACUGGCCGUUAGCCCCAUGCGCCUCGAGCACUUGAAAUGUGUGCACUUUCUGGCUCCUUAACAUGUGCCCACCAUUGUGAUGCCAUUCCUCCAUGAUGCCUUCACCAGAACUGAGGAACGCAAGUGCCAUGCCCUUGAAUUUCCAGGGCCAUGAGCUAAAUCAACUUCUUUUCUUUAUAAACUUAGCCUGCCUGAGGUAUUUCCUUAUAGGCUUUCUAAGAAAAUGCACUAAUACAGAAGCCAAUGGAUAAA